Molecule: transfer RNA, 75 nt
Filed under: Eubacterium sp.
Lineage: Bacteria; Bacillati; Bacillota; Clostridia; Eubacteriales; Eubacteriaceae
Description: tRNA-Pro
Rfam family: tRNA
About the family: Transfer RNA (tRNA) molecules are approximately 80 nucleotides in length. Their secondary structure includes four short double-helical elements and three loops (D, anti-codon, and T loops).
Source: RNAcentral
CGGGGUGUGGCUCAGCUUGGCUAGAGCGCUUGAUUUGGGAUCAAGAGGUCGCAGGUUCGAAUCCUGUCACCCUGA